This is a long non-coding RNA of Bubalus bubalis (water buffalo), 407 nucleotides long. RefSeq lists it as uncharacterized. The transcript is spliced from 3 exons. The record is from RefSeq and is a predicted model, not a curated record. Lineage: Eukaryota; Metazoa; Chordata; Mammalia; Artiodactyla; Bovidae.
UCGAAGACCAACGGCCUGGUAGAGGGGCCUCUUGUCCCUGCCUCCUCACUGACCCUUGCCAGAUGGGAAAAAAGCGACCACAUAGAAACAUAACCUUUAUUGCACACGGCGCUGGGUCUUUUUUCAUAGAAAAAGGCCUGUAUGUAUUCUGUCCUUACGUCCAGCGUCUCAGCGGAAGAUGCAGAGGCCCUUGGAGAGAAAGAACAACUAACCCUCUCAAAAUUUCUAGGGAAAGAAAGUGAGGCCCAGAGAGAUAAGGGCAUCUGUCCCCAAAAGCCCAUGGAUGGAUUUGAAGGUCACUGUUUUAUCUCAUGCAUGCACAUGCUAAGUUGCUUCAGUUGUGUUGGACUCUUUGCAACCCUAUGAACCACAGCCCGCCAGGCUCCUCAGUCCAUGGGAUUCUCCAG